GAUGAACGCUAGCGGCAGGCUUAACACAUGCAAGUCGAGGGGUAGAAGGAGCUUGCUCCUUUGAGACCGGCGCACGGGUGCGUAACGCGUAUGCAAUCUACCUUUUGCAGAGGGAUAGCCCAGAGAAAUUUGGAUUAAUACCUCAUAGUAUGUGAGGAUGGCAUCAUUUUCACAUUAAAGUCACAACGGCAAAAGAUGAGCAUGCGUCCCAUUAGCUAGUUGGUAGGGUAACGGCUUACCAAGGCUACGAUGGGUAGGGGUCCUGAGAGGGAGAUCCCCCACACUGGUACUGAGACACGGACCAGACUCCUACGGGAGGCAGCAGUGAGGAAUAUUGGACAAUGGGCGCAAGCCUGAUCCAGCCAUGCCGCGUGCAGGAUGACGGUCCCUAUGGAUUGUAAACUGCUUNUGUAGAGAAGAACUACUACUUCGU
RNAcentral lists this ribosomal RNA (433 nucleotides) under uncultured bacterium. Its description in RNAcentral is "bacterial SSU rRNA". It matches the Rfam family "Bacterial small subunit ribosomal RNA", at positions 28 to 461 of the family's 1533-position model. The record is from RNAcentral.